RNAcentral lists this unclassified non-coding RNA (334 nucleotides) under soil metagenome. RNAcentral's name for it is "partial contains 5.8S ribosomal RNA, internal transcribed spacer 2, and large subunit ribosomal RNA". The stretch from base 1 to 120 matches the Rfam family "5.8S ribosomal RNA", at positions 35 to 154 of the family's 154-position model. The record is from RNAcentral.
GAUGAAGAACGUAGCGAAAUGCGAUAAGUAAUGUGAAUUGCAGAAUUCAGUGAAUCAUCGAAUCUUUGAACGCUCAUUGCGGCCGCCAGUAUUCUGGCGGGCAUGCCUGUUCGAGCGUCAUUUCAACCAUCAAGCCCUGCUUGCGUUGGGGUCCUGCGGCUGCCCGCAGGCCCUGAAAACCAGUGGCGGGCUCGCUAGUCACACCGAGCGCAGUAAUACAUCUCGCUUUGGGCGUGCGGCGGGUUCUUGCCGUUAAACACCCCCUUUUUACCAAGGUUGACCUCGGAUCAGGUAGGAAUACCCGCUGAACUUAAGCAUAUCAAUAAGCGGAGGA